GCUUGGUCCUAACCUUACUAUCAGGUUUAACUCAAUUUACACAUGCAAGCAUCCACAUCCCAGUGAGAACGCCCACAAUCUCCUUAACGGAACAUGGAGCCGGUAUCAGGCACACGCAGUUGCCCAAAACACCUAGCUUUACCACACCCACACGGGUACCCAGCAGUGAUUAAUAUUAAAAAUUAGCGUCAGCUAGAUUCAGUUAGAGUUACCAGAGCUGGCAAAUAUGGUGCCAGCCGCCGCGGCUACACCAAUAAGCUCAACUUGAUAAUUAUCGGCGUAAAGCGUGAUUUAAGUCACUCCACCCUAGAGCCAAAUUAUAACUACACUGUGAAAAGCCUGUUAUUCAGAAGCACAAGAACGAAAGUCACUCUAAUAAAACCAACUUGAACUCACGACAGCUGAGGAACAAACUAAGAUUAGAUACCUUACUAUGCUCAGCCGUAAACCUUUUAAUUACCUACUAAUC
This 469-nucleotide ribosomal RNA is filed under the name Rheobatrachus silus. Its description in RNAcentral is "partial 12S ribosomal RNA". The record is from RNAcentral. Lineage: Eukaryota; Metazoa; Chordata; Amphibia; Anura; Rheobatrachidae.